RNAcentral lists this ribosomal RNA (334 nucleotides) under Savarna tessellata. RNAcentral describes it as "SSU rRNA". It matches the Rfam family "Eukaryotic small subunit ribosomal RNA", at positions 1473 to 1803 of the family's 1831-position model. The record is from RNAcentral. Lineage: Eukaryota; Metazoa; Arthropoda; Arachnida; Araneae; Pholcidae.
UUAGAUGUCCGGGGCCGCACGCGCGCUACACUGAAGGAAUCAGCGUGUGCUCUCCCGGUCCGGCAGGACUGGGUAACCCGUUGAACCUCCUUCGUGAUAGGGAUAGGGGCUUGUAAUUGUUCCCCUUGAACGAGGAAUUCCCAGUAAGCACGAGUCAUAAGCUCGUGUUGAUUACGUCCCUGCCCUUUGUCCACACCGCCCGUCGCUACUACCGAUUGAACGAUUUAGUGAGGUCUUCGGACUGGCGCUCGGAGCGGUCUCCGUCCGGGCCGAAGUGCCGGAAAGAUGACCGAACUUGAUCGUUUAGAGGAAGUAAAAGUCGUAACAAGGUUUC